This 64-nucleotide transfer RNA is filed under the name Pantala flavescens. RNAcentral describes it as "tRNA-Ile". The record is from RNAcentral. Lineage: Eukaryota; Metazoa; Arthropoda; Insecta; Odonata; Libellulidae.
AAUAAGGUGCCUGAUAAAAGGGUUAUUUUGAUAGAAUAAAUCAUGUAGAUCUCUACUCUUAUUA